RNAcentral lists this ribosomal RNA (253 nucleotides) under uncultured bacterium. RNAcentral describes it as "partial 16S ribosomal RNA". It matches the Rfam family "Bacterial small subunit ribosomal RNA", at positions 524 to 776 of the family's 1533-position model. RNAcentral also lists the same sequence under 1 other name. The record is from RNAcentral.
UACGAAGGGUGCAAGCGUUACUCGGAAUUACUGGGCGUAAAGCGUGCGUAGGUGGUUUGUUAAGUCUGAUGUGAAAGCCCUGGGCUCAACCUGGGAAUGGCAUUGGAUACUGGCGAGCUAGAGUGCGGUAGAGGGUAGUGGAAUUCCCGGUGUAGCAGUGAAAUGCGUAGAGAUCGGGAGGAACAUCUGUGGCGAAGGCGACUACCUGGACCAGCACUGACACUGAGGCACGAAAGCGUGGGGAGCAAACAGG